This is a long non-coding RNA of Girardinichthys multiradiatus, 2562 nucleotides long. RefSeq lists it as uncharacterized. NCBI's taxonomy places the organism in Eukaryota, Metazoa, Chordata, Actinopteri, Cyprinodontiformes, Goodeidae. The transcript is spliced from 3 exons. The record is from RefSeq and is a predicted model, not a curated record.
GUCUGCCCUGGUGCUGCUAGCAGGAGAGGAAGUGCUGCCAUUUCAAGGAAAUUCGUCGCUUUUAAAAACUGCAGAUAUGCUUGCCUGCUUUCUAGGUUUUAGAGGAAACCACACACACACAAAUAUUCCCUCCUCAUAUGUUUCCUGGAAAUAAAGAGAAGAGGAAAUUAUUGGAUCAGUCUCCAGCACCUUUUCUGACCCGUACUCUGAUUGGACUUAAGAAGUGCUCUGGCCAGCACCCUAGUAUGAACUUGGUGAUUAAACCUAAACUAGCACCUUACAGUCUCUCCAAUACACUCCUUGUUGCCACACAAACUUCGUUCUCUCGAGAAAAUUAACUCAUCUCAAGAAUCGUCUUUGAUUUAAACAAUUUUUAAUAUGUUUUCUCAGUUACAUAUGUGCAGAAAAGCACAAAUUGAGACUGGAAGACAAAACUUGUUUAUUUUGUUCAGAUAUUUUUGAGCAUACCUCAAGAAGUCAUAUGUUCACACCACCUCACACCCGUUUUUCAGAACAAUUCACUGAUAUCAAAAGGACAGGCUAAUGUCAGACAACUGGUUCAAGCCAGAAAAAAUAUAACACUCCCAUCACACACUAACAGCUGGACCAUUUCUCAUCCAUGUGUAAACUAAUAGACUUCAAACAAACAUGUUACUGGUGUCUGUAAGAAAAUCAACCAGGCAGCUGCAGUUCAUCUGAAAUGCUGCUACCAGAGUUCUAAAAAACACACUGUUACAGUGUCAUCAGAGAGAAACUCCUGAACUUCAGACAGUCAUUUCUAGGCAUUUUUCUCCAUUUUUCAUUGACCCCAACUUCCCUGACAACAGACCUUGAGCCAGGCGAGAAUUGUCCUUCAUGAUAUGAGCUUUUUGGAGACAGCGGGAACUGUAAAGUUCUUCAAGUGUGGAUAGAGGGCAGCCAAUGAUCUUUUGGGCCACAUUAAUGGCCCUCUGAACCACUUUCAGCUGAUGUACCACACACAGAUGCAGUAGGUCUUUAUGCUCUCAAUAGAGCACAGAUAAAAGGACACCAGCAGUCUACGUGUUAUGUUAUUUUCCCCACGCACCCUCAGGAACUAUAGCCUCUACUGGCCUUUUUCAGCAGCUCAGAGGUAUUUGUGCUCCAGGUCAGGACCUCUUUGAUGUGGACUCGCAGGACGCGGAAGUCACCCAACUUCUCCACACAGUUUCCGCUAUGAAUGUCCAUCCAUUUUCGGAUAAUGGACUUAACAGUGCUCUGUAAAAUCUUCAAAGAUUAGAAGGGUUAUAAUCUAACCCUGUUGUAAGCUUCUCCACAAAUUUUUCCCUGGUGUCCUAAUGUGUUGCUAUGUCCUCCAGAUCCAGACAUUUACAGUUUGACUCGCACUGAGAUUAAAAUACAUGCAUAUGGACUGUUUACUAAUUUCUGAAGGCAAGUGAAUGCACUUGAUUUUCUUUAGGGGUAUCAAAUUAAAAGGGAAUGAACAUGUGUGAAGUUACUUUUUUAGGUUUUUUUUUUUAUGAAAUUUGAAAACCAUGUAUUCUUUUAGUACUUUGUGUUGGUCUAUCACAUAAAAUCCUAACAAAAUACUUGAAAGUUUGUUGCUCAAAUGAACAAAAUUUUAAAAGGUUCAGGGAGUAAUUGUCACAGUGUGUCUCUUGGUUCUGUAUUGGUUUACGUUUUAGUUAGGUGGUUGCUGUCCAGUAUGAUUAGUCUUUGAGUUCCAGUUCUGGUGUCUUAUUUUUUAGGUUAAGUUCAGUUUAUUGGAUGUGGUUUUGAUUCUGUAAUUAGUUACGUUUAGUCAGGUGUUUUUUCUGUUAUUGUUUGGUUAGUCCUUAAGUCCUCGUUUCUGGGUUCUGUUUCCUAGGUUCUCUUCUGUUGACUGUGUUUGUAUUAUUAUUAUUAUUUAUAGAUCUGUUCCCCCCGUGUUCUGGUCCCUGGGUGUGUUUACAGUUUUGUUCUUCGUCUAGCUCCUCCAUGUCCUCAUUUGUCCCUAUCUGGUUCACCUGCUCUCUCUGCUUCCCUGACUCCUUGUCUCACCUGUUCCCUGUUCCUCUGAUUACCUGCCCUAUUGUUUCAUGUCCACCUUUGUCUGUAUUUAAGUUUGCCUUCGUCCUUUGUUACACGCGGUGUCGUUAUGUCUCUUUGGAUUUUGUUCUUGCUCCGGAUCCUGUUAAGUUCUAGUUUGAAAUUGCCUUGUAAUCAGGAUUAUCCUGUCAUCCAGCACCUCGCCUGCAUUGGGGGUCCAGCAAGAGGAAGCAGGACGGGAAGUGAAGGGCCUUAUGUCAGGCCAGCCAGUGUCUCACCUCAAUAAGAACAAAAGGCACUUUGAAACAUUUUCCAUCACAGGUGCAAUUGGUGCAAGUAUGCAAUAAAGUUCCUAAUUAACUUUGACCAAGCUUGACAAAUUUUAGAAUGUUUAACAAUUUUAUUGUUUUUUUUUAAAGAAACCUUGUCAAUAUGUUUGAUUGCUAUUAAGCGUGGACAUUGAGUCGACAUGUGUGAAUUAUGCCAUGAUGUCUGUGUUUGACUGCUGCUGUGCAACAAAAUUCCCCUUGUGGAACAAUAAAGAACUGAACAGAA